This is a small nucleolar RNA of Capsella rubella, 147 nucleotides long. It matches the Rfam family "Small nucleolar RNA snoR145". The record is from Rfam. Lineage: Eukaryota; Viridiplantae; Streptophyta; Magnoliopsida; Brassicales; Brassicaceae.
AAGCGAAGGACCCAGCAGGGAAGCGAGUAUACUCAUGAAAUGAGGCUUCUCUAACCAUUUAUUUAACCUUCGUAGAUUGAGUCGUCCAAGAACUCUUUGAUGAUCUGUCUUUUUAAUUGGAUUGUCUUGUGUUCUUGUUGUAUAUUU